RNAcentral lists this transfer RNA (86 nucleotides) under Bacillota bacterium. Its description in RNAcentral is "tRNA-Leu". It matches the Rfam family "tRNA". Rfam says of the family: Transfer RNA (tRNA) molecules are approximately 80 nucleotides in length. RNAcentral also lists the same sequence under 1 other name. The record is from RNAcentral. Lineage: Bacteria; Bacillati; Bacillota.
GCCCAAGUGGCGAAAUGGCAGACGCAAAGGACUUAAAAUCCUUCGGUGGAAACACCAUGCCGGUUCGAGUCCGGCCUUGGGCACCA